UGUUUGGUGCGUUGGGGCUUUUCUCGCUGAAUAUUCUCCUCUACUGUGGACACGCUCAAGAUGCUUUGCUGCAUAUUGAGCCAAACUGGUCCCCUUUAUUUACUGGAGAGAAAGUUUCCUUCAUAUGUGACUCAAGGGAAGGAAACGACACUGACUGGAAUUACUCAUUCAGUAGGAAUGAUCAUUUAUUUACCACCAACAGAACAGUGAAUAGAUAUAAAUCAUCAUCUCUAACUAGAGGAGAUAGUAGUGAAUAUCAGUGUGUUGCUGAUCACAAGAUCCGUCCUGUUACAAGAGAAAGUAAUAAAGUCUCUCUAACUGUAUCAGAUAAGUGAUAAAAGAUU
Molecule: non-coding RNA, 344 nt
Organism: Gasterosteus aculeatus aculeatus (three-spined stickleback)
Lineage: Eukaryota; Metazoa; Chordata; Actinopteri; Perciformes; Gasterosteidae
Source: RefSeq, a predicted model, not a curated record